Molecule: ribosomal RNA, 429 nt
Filed under: Gemmatimonadota bacterium
Lineage: Bacteria; Pseudomonadati; Gemmatimonadota
Description: Gemmatimonadetes bacterium partial 16S ribosomal RNA
Rfam family: Bacterial small subunit ribosomal RNA
Source: RNAcentral
UAGGGAAUCUUCGGCAAUGGACGAAAGUCUGACCGAGCAACGCCGCGUGAGUGAAGAAGGUUUUCGGAUCGUAAAACUCUGUUGUUAGAGAAGAACAAGGACGUUAGUAACUGAACGUCCCCUGACGGUAUCUAACCAGAAAGCCACGGCUAAAUACGUGCCAGCAGCCGCGGUAAUACGUAGGUGGCAAGCGUUGUCCGGAUUUAUUGGGCGUAAAGCGAGCGCAGGCGGUUUCUUAAGUCUGAUGUGGAAGCCCCCGGCUCAACCGGGGAGGGUCAUUGGAAACUGGGAGACUUGAGUGCAGAAGAGGAGAGUGGAAUUCCAUGUGUAGCGGUGAAAUGCGUAGAUAUAUGGAGGAACACCAGUGGAGAAGGCGGCUCUCUGGUCUGUAACUGACGAUGAGGCUCGAAAGCGUGGGGAGCAAACAGG